CUUGCCAGGAAGGCCUGCAGCAAGACCGGCGUUAGCUCCGGUGUAGGGAAUCCCAGCGAUUGCUUGUUUCAAACAGUUGCACACGCUCUGGCGGUCAGGGGUGGUUUGAGCCAUGCCAUAGAGGGCCCUGAUCCCGCCGCAGCAAUUCGCCGCGGGAGUCCCACCGUUUUGGACGUAGGAAACACAAGGCAUCAGCUUGUUCACCACCUGACCGCACGUAAGGGCUGCUUCGGCACCACCAAUCGAUAGUGCUGCCGCCAUGGACAGCACCACCAAGAACACCACCUUUUGAACUCCAGAGAACGCCAUUCCUAUGUCGUAGAGAUAAUAUGCUUCAAAAUACUAGAACUUACUCAAGUGUGUAGAGAGUAGAAGCUAGCCAGUGAAGUAGUGUGAGUUGAAUGGUCUAAGGAAUGCUGUAUAUAUAGAAUAUCUUACUCAGUGUAUUCAUGGUGAUGGGUAAAUCGGUAGUUGGCGGAAUUGAAAUCUUCAGAUGAGAUUGGUUGAGCAUUAUAAAUGCUAAUAGCUAGAACUGGUAUACUUGGAUUCAUAGAUAUAUAUAUAUAUAUAUAUAUAUAUAUAUAUAUUUGUUGAUANNNNNNNNNNNNNNNNNNNNNNNNNNNNNNNNNNNNNNNNNNNNNNNNNNNNNNNNNNNNNNNNNNNNNNNNNNNNNNNNNNNNNNNNNNNNNNNNNNNNNNNNNNNNNNNNNNNNNNNNNNNNNNNNNNNNNNNNNNNNNNNNNNNNNNNNNNNNNNNNNNNNNNNNNNNNNNNNNNNNNNNNNNNNNNNNNNNNNNNNNNNNNNNNNNNNNNNNNNNNNNNNNNNNNNNNNNNNNNNNNNNNNNNNNNNNNNNNNNNNNNNNNNNNNNNCGCCACUAUCCGGGAUUCCCGCAAGCCUACGGCACACUUUGUUUCUAGAUCACGAUUAUGAUUUAUGUGCGUGCAAAGGUUGAUUAGGGUUAACUACUUCAUUAAGAUUUAACCACCUUCUGGCUACGGCACCGCAAAUUAUUAUGUGUACAAUAACUUCGGUAAAUCAUGUCGAUCUGGGAUGACGAAUUAUCAUAUUUUAUAUGUGGUGAGUUUAAUGUGGAAUGAUUAAUUUGAUUGAGCAAACAGUAAUUCAGUUACUUAUGGGCCACGUGGUGUUCCCAGUAAAGGGAAUACUUACUAUAAGUGAACCCAAUUUGUUUCGAAGACAUGAAUCAAUGAAUACAAUCUGAAUAAAAUUUGGAUAUACACAAAUUUUUGAGAAUACAAAUCCCACAAGUGAAUAUGGUAUAUCACAUUAUAUUAAUUAGGUCAGCUUCAUCUUUCAUCACUUGAUUUUAGUUAAGCUCACAUAUAUUUCUUCAUCUAUACCUGACGAGUCAUUUGUUGAGUUUGUCCAGAUCACAAUUUAGGCCUUCUGUGGUUUGCAACUUUGCACUUAAUCCAUCUUGUACGUACAUGCUAAGUCACAUUUUAGCUAAGUGCAUGAUUAACCAAAUUUGAAACUAGAUUAACAUCUUUUGAUUACCUUUUGGCCACACCCAUUUUGCCAUGAUGUGAUCAGCUCCUCACAUAUAUAUACUACGUUGCAUACGUUGCUUGGUAUAUUAUGUAAGGUAGACCGAAGUUGAACACACAUAAGUUCAAAUAUAACCACAAGUACUAAACUAUAUGACUUUUUGUAUGUUAGUUUAUUUUGGUUCAUCUCCGAGUUCAGCACCUUCAGGAUAUAUUUAGAAAUUGUUACUACAAAUAUGUCUUCUUAUAAUUGAAAGAUAAAACACAGAUCUUGUGGAGAGACUUGUUCUAACAACCAUAAGACAUAAACCAAAGCUACUCGAUCUUCAUGCUAAGGACGUACUUCACAAACUUCCAUUUUAUUCGAUCUACUGCACACUUGAUGAGAUUUCAAGUACUUCAAUGGAUCCUGCAUGCAUCAGAAUACACAAUGAAAAACAAAACAUCGAAUUAGCUCAAUUAGGACAUUUGUGUUCAUAAUGAAAAUAGACAAUACGUUGUUUCUAGUUACGUACGUGUUACAAUCGGUGUCCGGCUUAAUUAUGUAAGGAAGCCUUACACCACACCGGAUUGGGAGACCAGCCACGAGGUUAAGCUUGAGUCCACCAGUGCCUCGAACAGCAGCAACCAAGCACCAGCAAACGGACUGGCGAUCGCCGGAGGUCUUAGCCGAGUUGCUAAGGUACCUGACUCCAUUGCAACACGGUACGGUGGAGGGACAUUGAAGGUCCUGGGGGGGGGGGAAUAGGCAUUUAUUACUUUUUCGUUCAAUUCCAUUCACAAGGAUAGUAAACAUUUAGCUAUCCUGAUAACAGGGAGAUGUAGUAAUAAAUAAAAGAACAAGUACUGGAAAGUAAAAGAAAUAACACCAGUACGUUUUUUAUUCGCAGAAACUCUGCACCAUGGAGAAAAACUGCGUGCCCCUAACUUUUGAGGGACAAACCUUUCCACUACCACUAUGUAAAACUCACUUCUUACAAGAUUAUAGUCUAGGGAUACAACGACGAUUUGCAAUCCUGCCUAGUCUACCCACUAGUCUAGAUCUAUCUCUCCUGUCUCUGAGUGACUCACCUCACUCCUCACAAGAUUAUAGUCUAGGUAUACAACAACUACUUGCUAUCCUGCCUAGUCUACCUACUAGUCUAGACCUACCUCUCUUGUCUCUCAAGUGUUUACAUAUGAAUGUAUUAGAAGAAGUUUCAACUCAGAACUCAGCUAACGCCUUUAACUGAUUUUUCUUGAACACUUCUCAGAAUACUCAACUCAGAACUCAGCUAUCCUAAUGAGAGGGAUUCUUCAGACUUCAGCUAACACCUUUAACUGACUCUCUAGAACUCAGCUCUCCUCGAUCAACUGAUCCUUCUUGAGUACUUCUGGGGUUGCUGCACUACCAUCACUCAUGAUAUGCAGAAUGCUAAUGGGUUUAUGAAAAGAGUUUUUGCUUUUGCUCUUGCUCUAAGAUUUACAAUCACCAAGGGAAGACUUAGAGGCAAAUGAGCAAUGCAAGGUAAAACCUAGACCCAGCUAAAACAAUGUAGAAAACUACAUUUUGAACAACCAAGGAGCAAGAAGAGACUUGCUCCAUAUAUAUAGGCAAAGUGCAAGCUAAAGGAGAGCAUGCCCGUUUACCAAAAUGGGAGGCAACUUUUGGACUUUAGUCCUUGUCCAAACUCAUAAAGUGAGAGGGCCAAGGGAUAAACAAAAGGCUCCAAGAGAGUAAAGACAAACACAACUCUCUUAUAUGAUAAUGGUCCAAUAAGAAAGAAACAAAAGGUUUUGUGAAUGAAGGAGACACAACAAAACCUAUUCUUAUACGAGGACACAUAGGCCAGCUGAUAGCUUGGGCAGUGCAUCACAUGGCUCAGCAACUGACUUGGUUUGAGUAUCACAAAACCUAGCUGGACUCAAAAAGGAGCUGACCUAAAAGUGUUUUAGUCAUGUGCUCAUGGGUUGGAAGAACAACACAACCCUAGACUAACUUGGAGCUCAAGCACGAUGAAAAAUGUUUUGCUAAAAGAGAUUUGAAAUUCAAAUAAUGAAAAGCUGAAGCAAAACCAUUUAAAUCUGCACGAAGUCAGACUCAGAGAUUAGGAUAGAUACAACAAGGGUAUCCACCAAAUCUGGAUGGCAAGCAGAGCUGCCAUCCUGAAUGAAUGUGAUGCACAUGCAUGAACUACCUGAUGUACAUGAGAUAAAAACAAAGAGCCAGCUAAUAUAUUAGUUUGUGUAUCACAAACCUAGCUGGAGCCUCUAAGCUCUAGUCAUGUGGUCACGGGUUGGAAACACUACACAACCCUAGACUGACUUGAAGCACCAAGGCAACGACAAAUGUAUUGCUAAAGGGGAUUUGAAUUCAAACAGGGGAAUUCAAACUAAUGAUACACAAAUACCAAAAGCAUUUAGACAUGUAUACAUAUAGACCCAAUAGAUUAGGACAGAUACACCAAGAGAUAUCAUCUGAUCUAGGAGGACAAGCAAAGCUGCCAUUCUCAGUGAAAAACAUGAGAUGCAUAUGCAUAAACUACCUGAUGUACAUGAGAUAUUGGCAGAUCUUCAUUCUUCACUUGUGAUAUCCUUACCAUCAGGAUAUGUAGAAUUCUCAGUGAAAAGCAUCAGAUGCAUAUGCACCAGUUACCUAGGACACAUGUGAUAUUGUCAAGUCUUCAUUCUUCACUUGUGAUAUCCUUACCAUCAGGAUAUAUAAAAUAGCUUGUGUCCUGUAUUUUGAUCAUAAAAGGGAUAGCCAACAAUCUUUAUACCAACAGACAUUUCCACCGUUCUGCAGGUAAACUAUGCAUGGUCUCACGCUUUGUGAUACCUGACCACAUGUGACGGUGUGGGCCGGUACCGGUGCACGAGCAACCACCAGGCACAUGAGGACCACGAAGGCCAACCUAGAACUUGUCAUGGAUGUGUCGGUAGGGAAGGCCGGACCUAGCUAGUUUAUACUGUUUCUGGAUUUAUGCCUAACUUGUGAUACUGGUAUGCCAUGUCGAACAUUUGGUACUGGUGGUUUCAUAAAUGAAAAUGUUAAAACGUGGGAAUGUGAAAGAGUGACACGAAAUAGGAUUGUAUCAGUUGGGAGCUAGCUAACUCGGCGCUAUAGAUUGAAUUCUGUUAAUUAUACUUGUUGUUUAGCACCUUAGGUAAUAUAGAUGACUAGAAAUGUUUGUCUCCACCGUCUGUAUUUUUUCACAGAACAAUUGAAUCUGAUUAUAUGUCCUUAAGGUGUGAGAUUGAAUCUGAUUUUAGUUUGAGUUACAACUUACAACUGAGAUCGAGUUAAACUUUAAAAAACAAUGGAUAAAAUUAAGUUUGAGACUUUGAGGUGAGAUAUAAUUGAGUCAGAUAACACAUUGUUUUUUAACAAACUACUGUUUAAUUUUAAUUACGAUUGUUACUACAACAAAGUAUAAUGAAAAUCCCAUUCUUGAUUAUAGCCUAUGAAUUACAAGUGAGAUUGAGUUAUACUAUGAUUUGAGGUACUAGCUAGCUGGAAGACAAAACGAGUACACAUUUUAAAAGCUUUUUGUUGAUCGACUGCUUAAAGCCAUUCAUUAUCUCAAACACAAAGUGCAACUGGAACGAGAUGGAAAGCUAGCUUGUCUGAAGUCUAAGCAAAGAAAUAAAGCAGAGAGCCUAAUCCAAAUUUCAAAUUUGUAGUAUUAUAAAUAAACGAGUACAUUACAUGGAUCAUAACUUCAGAAGUUCAUAACCUAGUAGAUUAUGGAGUAACUUUUGGUAAUACUAUCACUGUGGACGUGAUCACCCACACUUUAUUUAACGCUCGAUACUAUCACUUCAAGGGAAGUUUACUUUCCAUCGAUUUAGCUCUUCACUUCACGCUGCAUCACCAAAAGAAGAAAACCAUGAAAUUAGCUCCGGUGUUCCGUUUGAGAAAAACACGUACAACAUAAAAACUAAAAGCAAUUGCCAAUUCGAUCGAGAAGAAUAUGAUCGAGUGUACUUACGCAGCGCAGUUGGUGGAGGUGCUGAUCUUGUACGGAACGCUAACCCCACACUUGCCUGGAAGCCCAGCUGCAAGGCUAGGGUUGAGUCCUUUGAUGGCACCGGAGGCCUGUUUGAGGCAAUUGCAGGUGGCCUGGCGGUCAGCAGUGGUCUUAGCCGCGCUGUUAAGGGAUCUAAUUCCGUUGCAGCAAGCGGCAGGGACAGCGCCGCCACUCUUCACGUAGUUUACGCAAGGUGAAAUGCUACUCGCUACUUGGCCGCAGGUGAUGGCUUGGGCUAUGGGCAAAGCAACAACAAUGCACAAGAGAGCGACCAAAGAAAGCUUCAUAGCAGUAGAGCUAGCCAUAUUGCAGUCUUAGCUAGGAUGAUGAGCUUGGAAUAUAUGGGUAUGUAAUGACUUGUUUUUGAGAGCUCGAGUGAGUAGUGAAGGUAACCCGGAUGGGGAUUAUAUAGGGAAGGGGAUGGGGUGAGUCUCUAACUAAGUUUCCUUACUCCUUGGGUCGAUCACAUCAAUAUCAUCACUUAAUAGUUAUUAGUUUUGUUGAUGAAAAUGCCACAUGUUUUAAUUUUAAACCAUUAGAAACUUCUGGACCACGUACAAGUUCAAUUUCAGUGUUAGAGUUAUAUGACUUUCAGCAUUUUUUUUUGUUAGAAACUGGUAAAAAUAGUAUCUAAAUUACGUUUGCAUGCACUAUAACUUGUUAUCUUCUUCUUCUUUCUUCUUCUUCUUCAUGAAAUUGAAAAUACUUUCUCCAACAUAGAAAAUGAAUUCUCUUUCUGUUAGGAAUAACGAGAAUAAUUGUAAGCAGAGAAUGCAUUUUCCUUCAUCAAUAGUGAAACAUCGAACAAUAAGGUUAGUGUGAUAUAUCUAUCAAAUUAUAAAUGUCAUUACUCAAAGUGUGUACGUGUAGGAGGAGUUGGGAGGUAGUUAGGUGGCAGUUGUGCUCGAUUUAAUGCUUUGGUACUGUAUAACUUUGGUUUUUAGAUAUAGUUGAGCACGUCCCUUCACAAUAAAAUGGCAAUAUAUAUGAUAUCCUAUUGAAGGAACAACCUCGAUCGUUAUAUUUCAACCCCCUUCUUGAAAAAUAUACACAUAUGCAAACCGACUAAAUAAUUUCAACUAAUGGACAAAUUAAUUGAAGAAGUAUGAACUUUGAACUACUGAAAAUCUACUACUUGUUGGAGACAACUAAGAGCAACCAAAUAGAAGGUCGAUAAGGAUUCGUUAUAGAAAAUAUGUAAACGGAAUAAAAAAUUAUGCAACCAUCUAUCUUAACAUAUAUAUAUAUAUAUAUAUAUAUAUAGGAUUUUUCUCAGCUACAAACGUCUGCACCAAUGGUUUUGGUGCGGAUUUUCAUUUUUGCACCACUUUUCAAUCGAAUUUCCUCAUCUCCACCGUCUACUAUCUAGAUAAUAUUGUGUAGAUCAUCUCUGCAAAAUUUCAGCCAAUUUAAUAAUCGUUAAGGCCCUCAAAAUUGUGUCUUUAUGUUAUAAACAUGAACGGUUCAUGUUUGACAGAAUUCAGUCCGUCUAUUUGUUUUUCGAGUUUGAGGGCCUUAACGAUUACCAAAUUGGUUGAAAUUUUACAAAGAUGAUCUAAACAAUAUUAUCUAGAUAAUAGACGGUGGAGAUGAGGAAAUUCGAUCGAAAAGUGGUGCAAAAAUGAAAAUCCGCACCAAAACCAUUGGUGCGGACGUUUGUAGCCAAGAAGCCCUGUGUGUGUAUAUAUAUAUAUAUAGGCCGGAUAUGAAGCGGACGUCCGCACCGGCCUUAAAGUGCGGACGUCUGUCCGUUCUCCACCCUCCGACGCCGGCGACGACGUGCCUCCACCACAAAAGACUCCAGCAGCGUCCCCGACCACUUUCCCUCCCCGGCGAGUCCGUUCUUUUCUAGUUUUCUAGCGAGAUCACCCAAAACUUCAAACAAAGUCGAUCUCGCCGGAAAACUGAAAAAAACGGACUCGCCGGGGAGGGAAAGUGGUCGAGGACACUGCUGAAGUCUUCUGGAGUGGAGGUGCGCUGUCGCCGGUGCCGGAGGGUGGAGAACAGACGGACGUCCGCACUUUAAGCCGAGUGCGGAUGUCCGCUUCUCAUCCUCUAUAUAUAUAAACAUUCGACAAUUAACUACGAUUUCUAAUCAGUGACAGACUCAAAGAUUAAAGUUGGGGUGUCACUAUAUGUUAUUAAGUAUUAACCUAAGCAUGAACUCAUUUGAAUCAACUUACAAAGAGACAUAUAUACAAGCCAAAUUGUGGGGUGUCAUGGCCCCUUUUGGUCUUCAAAUAGCUCUGCCAAUACUUCUGAUUCAAAUUACUGUAUCAUAACUGAACUUUGCAACGGACAACAUAACACAUAAUCGAGUAGCAGACAAUUGUAAGCGAGCAACAAUGACUUAUGGAUUUAUGGGAAGCAGAUCUGUUGAUUCGUAACCGAAGAAGAAAUUUCUUGGGUUUGUUGUUACAAUUUGGGGGAAGUAAAUGAAUUGGGGAACAAAAUUAAUUUUGGAUGAGAUGAUCAGAAUAAUCAGACCGAUGCUAAAGAAUGUUGUAAAUAUUAUAAUAUAUGUGGAUGUCCUUGUAAAUACUCAUUAGUUAUGUCCUUAAGAUGUAAAUCAUACUCCUAUAUAAAGGAGCCUAAUGAGAAUGAAAGUGACACUUCUUCCUCCUCCUACAUUUUGUUCUUCUCUUUUUUCUCUAUCUCAUUCUUAGUUUAUAACACGUUAUCAGCACGAUUUCGCUCAUUUGUUCCAUAAACUCCAUAACGAUCUAUGAGAUAUUGGUGCAACUUUUGUUGCUUAUUAUCCAUACUCACGAUCUAUGAGUUCACUUCUAUUUUGAUUAUAUCUUGUCUACAUAUAUACUUUGUUUAUAUUACUUAAUUCUAUGUUUACAAUUGCUUAUAUUAGUGAGCCUGAAGUUUCGUUAAUAAUUCUCAAAUAUGGAAUUUUUGAGAUUAUGAACCUGAAGUUCAAAUAUUAUAGUAGACUUGCAAUUCUAAUUGUUUGCAUAAACCUGAAGUUUUGUGCAUGUACAUGUGAUCCAUUGUUCACAAAAUUCGAACCUGAAGUUUCGAUAUUGAUAUUACUUUCAUAUGAACAUGAAGUUUUAAACAACAUAAUUAGAUCCAUGAUGAUCGAUGUGGUCUUGAAAAAGAGUCUGAAGGACAUGUAUCUAACGGUGAGAUAUCCGCUUGAGUUUUGCCAAACAUCGGUUGAUCAGUUACCAAGAGCAUGAUAUGAAUGGAUGCUUUUGCGCCUUCUAAUAUGGAUCAUGAUAUGGCUAUAGUUAUGGCUUAACCAUUUUCGGCCCAUUGACGCAUGUCCUAUAAUUUAGUGGCAAUUUACAAAGCCCUUUUUGAAUGGCAAUAAGACCAAAAUUAAUCAUAUUAAUCAGUCUCUUGAGAAAUCUGAGCCAUGAGUGGAUGUCACUUCACCUAAGUUGACAAUGUUUUUGUGGCUAUAUUGAAAUGUUAAAGACAUGAUCAAUGGGGGUGUUCUUAACACCGAUUAAUAUUAAGCCUAUCAUAAUGGAAUUUUGGACACCGAGUUAUUGUGAUUGAUAUGAGUGCCUUCAAUUAAGGUUAUUAUACGAGUGCAUAUGGUUAAUUUUCUUCCCAAUAAGUGCACAUAAAUAUUUUUCAGGUCAUUAAUCUAGCAAUCAAAUGUCAUUGUUCACAAUUAUAUGCACCAUUUACAAGCAUUUAUAUAUACCAAAUUUCAGUUAUUAAUAACAUGGAAAUUCAUCGGUUUCUUUAUGCGGUUUUUCCCAUUAACAGCCCAAAACAUCAUCAUUCUUAGGUUUUGAAUUAUAUGUAUAUUAAUUACAUUUUAUUGGUUUCAUUACCUAGCCUGGAUGGAUGUUUCCAUAAUAAGUAGUAGUUUUGGAAUUUUAUGACCAUUGAUAACCUCUAUUUAUUGUUUUAUCAAUUCAGGUCUAGUAAUUGGUUUUUUACAGCCUUUUUGUUGUGGUAUUAGUCUUUCAUGAAACUUAUUGUUUUCAUAAUAUCAGAUUUAUUAAAGGGACUAAGGUAUGUAUUUUCCCAUUUCAUUAUUUGCAUGAAUUUAAUCUAUUCAUUUCACGACAUUCUUCGUUUUAUGAAUUCCGAGAGAAUUACAGUGAACUCCAUAAUUGAAACUUGAAGCCUCUUUAUCCAACUACAGAGGGCCUGAAGUUCCUCACGAGUAUUUUAUGAAUUCCGAGAGAAUUACAGUGAACUCCAUAAUUGAGACAUGAAGCCUCUUUAUCUAACUAUAGAGGGCCUGAAGUUCCUCUCGAGUAAUAUGAUAAAUGGGGAGAUGUAGGGUAUCAUAGUAACACUAUGGACAUAAAUGAAGGACAUAAAAGGUGUUCUCCAGUGACCAUGUUUCUCGGUCCUUUGUAGGCCGAGACUUCCUCGCUUUAUACUUGAGUGGAAAGAUUAAAGGUUAUGAUAGAAAAAGGGCACAUAUAUUGUUUUCUUUCCUCUGCCGGUUGCAUCUUUUGUGAUGUUGUCCAGAGUAUCUGACCAUUGGCAAGAUGUUUUUGCUAGAAAUCUGACUACCGGCAGUUUUUUUUCUGAUCACUCAUCUUAUUGAAAGAUGGUCCUUAUGCAUAUUUAUGAGAAUUGGAGGAAACACGUAGCUAUUUAAGCUCUGCAUGUACCCAUUGCAAAUACACUCAUUGUGCAUGUCAUGAGAAUAUGACUAAUUCGGCCCACAUAUAUUAAAGAAACAAUAUCAUGGUAUGAGAUUAUGAAAUUCAAGUAUGUUUUAUUUUUCUUAACCUUAUUCGGUUUUAUAAUUAAAAUUGAUCGAAACCUGGAGUUUCUUGAUCAAACUAUAUGAGGGCCUGAAGUUCUUUGAAAGUGAUAUUGUCAAAUUAUUGAAAUGAAGUUUCUCAAAACUUAUGUAAUCAACAAGGACCAGAAGCUCCUUAGAGCUAUACAAUAUGGUUUUCUUGUGAUCCACAAUUAUAUGAGAGCAUGAAGCUCCAAUUUAUUUUGAUACAAUGUUAUUGUGAAAUUAGAGGAGAGAAACAAGAUUAUCAUAUUCGUGAAGGUAACUAGACCAGAAGUUCUUGUACUUUUUCACCAAUAGAACUAUAUGUUUCCAUUCUCAGAUUUUACUUAUCCUUGUUCCUUACCAUUUUAGAGUUUGUUAAUUAUUUUCCUCUUCUAAAUUUUAUUGUUACUCAUACGGGCCAGCAACUUUAUAGCACGAACGUAUGAAUUUCAAAUGUCAUGUUUUUGAACCAGAAGUUCAAAUUACUGAAUUAUAGAACAUAAGAAUUCCAGAUAACGUGUAAAUUAAAAGCUCAAGCCCGAACCUGAGUAUGUAAAUUAAAUUAGUGAACUUGAAGUUUCAGUUCAGUUAUCUGGAACCUGAAGUUUCCGGCACCAAAUUUAUUUGAACUAGAAGUUCAACAUAUGAAAUCUGAGUACUUGAAGUUCUAACAUUAUAAAUUUGAACUUGAAGAUUCGAUUACACAUAUGAUUGAUGGCUCCGGAAUAGCACAUAAUAUCCCCUCUUUACAAGAAGUGGCUUCAAUAUGGUUCCAAAAUAUGUAUUGAGAUCCCACAUCGCCCGAAGGAGGGGAGAAGAUGUGUUGCAAACAUACCUCCCCAUAGUGAGACUAAUUUUGGGUUGGCAAUUCAAGCACAAAAUUGUAAAGCGAGCGAGAUCCAAAAUGGACAGUAUCUCGCUAUGUCGCCUAUUACGUGUGUUAAAUUCUAUAAUAUAUUGAGACACAUAAUGUCAUGAACCAGAAGUUCAUUGAACCAAAUUAAUUAUUUUGGCAUGACUAGUUAUAUCAUAUUUUACCUACAGUGUUGUUUGAAAUUAGUAACAACUUUUGAUGCCUGUUAGCUAACGCUACUCAUAGCAAAUUGUUUAUUUGCUGCAUAUUUUUUUGUUGGUUUGUCACUUUAAUGAGACACUUCUCUUGUUAUGAAAGGGAUAAAGAUUGUUCCUGAAGAACAACAUGAAUUAUUGUGGAAUAUUUACCUAUUGUCUCAUUUUGAGCUUGAGGAAUAUCACAGCUAGUGACUUAAUAAAAACUAUUGAUGACAAAAUUAUAUGCUAGCGGAAGAAGAUUUACUUGAGUAAAAUCUUUGAGACCAACCAUAUUAACAAAAAUAACAUUGCCCUGUUUGAUUUGUGGGAAGAAUGAGAAUCUAAGUGACAUGGUUCUUUUAACGUGAAUGUCAUUAAAAAUGUCCGAGUUCCUAAUAUGGCGGCUACAAUAUUACACAUACAAAAGUUAAAAGUACACUAUCAGAGGAUGAUAUCUUGGUGGUACAAUUAUACAUCAAUAUGGUUGAUACUCAUGAAUUUAAUAUUUUUUGACCUUAAACUUGGUUUGGGUUUGCCACCAGCCAAUAGACAUCUUUACUCGAAAGUAAGUGAUAUACAUUUAAAUGCAUUUUUAUGCAUGGUCAAAAUAAGACAGUGUUUCCGCCGUUAGGGGGAGAGAAAAGACUACUGUCAUUUGAAUAACGGCGUGAAUUUGGAGUGGAAUGUAUCCACUAGGUCUAAAAUUUUAAGCUCCUGAAAAUGGAAGAUUAUACAUGUCCUAUAAUGUUUUAUGAUAUUAUGAAUAUAGAUCCACAUUCGUUAGAUAUAAUUCAUUUAUGAGAGAUGUUUGUCGUAGAAGUGACAAUAUUUGCCCCAAAAGUGGCAUGGGUACCCAAUAUUAAUAAGCUCAUAAUAACUAAUGCAUGCAUAUAAGAAUGUGUGGGAUCUAUGAAUGAUGAUCAUCGAUGAAAAUUUACAUAUGGUAGUUACCAAAGACCGUUAAGGACUGUAUGAUGCAAUACCACGUUUCAUUAUGAAUGUCGACAAUGCAUAUUAUUGGCCAAAUUGGAUAGAGGCAAUUCCAAUGAACUGAAUAUAUAAAACGUGAUGAGAUAAUUAGACCUUUAACCCUACAUGAUUCAAAAGGGUAUUAAUCACAGUGAAAAUAAAUCACUAUAUAUGGCACAAUGUCUACAAGACACAUGGGGAUUACAAAUAUCUUUCCUUAUACGUGACAAUUUUAUGUAAGUACAAUGUUACAUAUAGUUAUUGACAAAAGACUUACUGCAGUUGUCAUCGUAUAUUAUAAAGAUCUUAAAAGACUUUGCUAAAAGCAAAACCCCAAAAGUACAACGUCAUCAUAAGCGUAUCGCGUAUCAAAUCCUUAAAUGAUUCAAGUACAUGAAUGAUUCAAACGUAAAUCGAUCCAUGAAUACUUGAGAGAGUCUAAAUAUGAGAUUGCUUAUCGCUUAAGGGAAAUGACGUAAUGUGCCUUAUACAUGCAAACACAACUCCCAUUAGUGAGACGUGUCUUGGGUUGGAACCCAAUAAGAAAGCCAUGAGGAGGAGGCCCAAAGGCGAGCAUAUCUAGUUAUGCUGGGCUGUUAAACUAAAGUUAACUCAUGCAAUCUAUAGUCUAAAACUAGCUCAUAUAUAUUUAUUCUGUUAUAGUUAACGUGAUCAAAAUUGCCUUAAUGAGUAUUAUGAUUGGACUACAAAACCGAAUUCGGAUUAUGUUGCUACAUAUUCUAACUUUCGCGAAGUUAUGAAUUGCUUAAAGCUUUUAAAGAGCAUAUACGAGAUGUAUCAAUCAAUAAACGAAGAUAUUGAUAUGAGUGGCUCGAUAUGCCAUGCUAAUCUUCCAAUGGUUUUGAACCAUACAUAGUAAUGUGUUGAUUAGUUUCUACUGCUUAGUUAUUACAUAAUGUAUGAAUUUGAACAUGUGAGGUUGUUUCUAACAUUAUAACAUGAGGUAAGACCUAUUAAAUUGUAUAGCUCUGUUGGUAUUGUCUUCACUUUGCAGGUAUGAAAAUCUUGUGAUGAGCCCCUGUAUGCAAAAUGAAUAAGAUCUCACUUCAGUGAUAGACAAAUCAAACUGCUAUUUAUUAUACAUGAAGCUUGCAACGAUCACGGGGAGAAUCUCAUUAGGGGGAGCAUCCAGAAGUAUGCUACCUAGGACAUAUGCGCGUUGCACUCUUUUUCUCCUUUGACCAGGGUUGUUUUUUCCCACAGGGUUUUUAUUACCUGACAAGGUUUUUAACAAGACAACACUAAGAUCGUCCAACAUCAGAUUAUUAAUGGACAUCCAAGGGGGAGUGUUGUAAAUAUUAUAAUAUAUGUGGAUGUCCUUGUAAAUACUCAUUAGUUAUGUCCUUAAGAUGUAAAUCAUACUCCUAUAUAAAAAAGCCUAAUAAGAAUGAAAGUGACACUUCUUCCUCCUCCUACAUUUUGUUCUUCUCUUUUCUCUCUAUCUCAUUCUUAGUUUAUAAAAAGAACAUAAUAAGUGAUGAAAAGUGCAAAAAAGGGAAAGUCAUCCAUGUUCGGGUUUUUGGGCCUAAUGAAUUUGAAGCCCGAGCUUAGACCGAGCAUUAAGCAAUUGGGUCGAGAUUGACUUGGACCAAAAAAUUUCACUCUAGGCCUGGCCCAUUUAGAGUUUUUCAGAUUCAUGCAGUUGUCCCUAGUUGUAAAAUGUGUUGUGAUAAAAUUAAGUUGGAAUUUUAGGCCCCUCAAUGCCUAUAUUGUAGAUAUAAUGGGAAGUAUUAUCACGGAACAGAGUAUUGAAGGCCCCACUAAAAUAUUAUCAUCCAUCAUCAAGUUAGGCAACUCAUAAUCCAUAUUCCUAUUAUAAAAAAAGGUCGCCUAUGGUACUUAAAUGUAUGUAACUCUUAGUAAAACUAUAUAUACCAAAAUUACAAUUUCAUUGAACCAAAAUUACAACAGAGUUACCAUAUUCAUUUUACAUAUUAAGUCAUUAAUAUUUAAAUAACCAAGUUACAACAAUUUGUUCAUAAACUUAUAAAAAUGUCACAUAUGGAGAAAUUAAUCAUCUCUGAUAAAAUUCUAAUUACCUAAAAGAUGAUUUUAUUUAUCACAACGAUAACAAAUUUGUUCAAACCUUCUAUCAUCUCGUGGGAGUAAUUAUGUUGUUGUCAUUUUUCUCCAAUGAUAUUUGAAAUGAUGAAAUCUUGAUGUACCCUAGUGAAAUGCUAUUGGCUCAUAACAUUUAUAUUCCAAUCACCUAUAGUCCUAUACCCGGCUUCAAAUCCUCUGUUUCCCUAUCUCCUAUCCCUGUAACCCUAUUAAAAUUUGACAUUUAGCACUUUUUGCUUAAUCCUUAACACCCCUUCUAACCUCUGUUAACCUUGUUAAACCCUCUCACUAACUUUAAUUCUAACCCAACUCUAACUCAUCUCUAAUUUGUAAUUAAAUAUAGGGUAGUGCUUGAGGGCCUUAAUAAGGCCUAAAAUUUAUGGUCUUAAUCCUAUGUGGCAUGUCAUGUCACAUAGACACAUCAUCAAUUUAUUAAAUCAUGACGUUUCAUUCUUAGAUAAAAAUACAAUCUUAACCCUAACAAUUAAUGGAUGCUACAUACUAAUAUGAAAUAUUUUCUUACCAUUUUAAUAUGGAUGCAUAUACCAAAUUUAAUUAAUUUAUUAAUAAUGACCAAGUUAAUUAAUAAUCAUACCAAAUUAGGCUUUUAUACCAUAAAUUAAUUUCGUAAAUUUAUUAAAAUUUCCUUCUAUCUUUGUGAAUCGAAAUUUAGUUCUAGAUAUCUAUAUUCCAUAUUCUAUAUCGAAUUUUAAAAAUAAAAUAAAAAAUAGAAAAAUCUCUAUCGAACUUCUUUUGGAUGAUUACAUAUAUAUAAACUUUAUUUUUGAUGAAUUAUAUAUAUAUGUAAAUUUUUUAUUCUGUACGAAAUUGUUUUUUCUUGGACAAAUUAUAUAUCCGUAUAUAUAUAUAUAUAUAUAUCAUAAGAAUUUGUGUUUUUUAAUAAGUAUAUUCUCAGAUUUAUAUGUAUUUUUACACUGUAUUUUAGUGUUCAAUUUAAACAUGAUAGUGAUGAAAAAGAAAAGAAAAAAAAUACUAGAAAUUAUAUAUUUUUUAAAUAUAAAAGAAAGACAAAAAAUCAAUUUUUUUUCCUCUUAAUAAAAAUUCAAAAUAAUUUAAAGUAAUUGGAUUUAUAAAGAUAAGAUUGUCUUUUUGCUUAAAAAAGAUAUGACAUAAUCUUUUUAAUUGAUGAUGUGUUUAGGUGACAUAGGAGAAAUUUUUCAGUGCUACGGGAGGACCACGUGGCAGUCUGACGUGGUCCUACUUUCCAAUCAAAUUUAGACAUGUAGAUUUUCUUCACGAAAAAUUAUUUCAGCUAUUUUGUCAAAGACCAUUUUAGGUUUUCUGUUUUUUUUUUAAUACUAAACCCUAAGCCCUAAACCCCAAACCCUAAACCCUAAACCCUAACCCUAAACUUUAAACCCUAUACCCUAGACCCUAGUUUAAACUUGCUAAAUACCCAUGAAUGUCAUUUCACAAAAAAUAGAAAAUAUUUGUUUAUAUUUUAGUUGUAAAAAAUCCACAUGUCUAAAAUUGAUUGGAACGUAGGACCACGUCAGACUGCCAUGUGGUCCUCCCGUAUCAUUUAAAAAUUUCUCGUGACAUAGCAUGCCACCUAAGAUUAAGGUUAUAAAUCUUAGGCCUUAUUAAGGCCAAUAAUCAUUUUCCUUAAAUAUAUUUAGCAAAAUCUAGGUGGUGAUGACCCUCUUCUUCUUUUUUCAUUGACAAAAAAAAAAAAGAACUCCCUCUUUCUUCUUUGUUUGAAACUCCUCUUUCAAGUACAACAAAACUAGUUUCAUUUGCAACUUAGAAUGACAUACCGAAGAAGCUUUCCAAAAGGGACAAAAGUACAUGAACAUUAGUAAGCUUCAAGACAUCUUUGUUUAAUCCUUGUAUUAAUUUGUAGAAGAAAACUAAUGUACAGAUAUCAGAGGGGCAUGCAAUUGGAUAUUAGACAACUACAAUAAAACAACCAUACAAAUGAAAAGCUUCAGAAACUAAUUAAUCGAGCAGAGAAGAGUCCAAUGGAGGCUUCAAGACCAAUCUGACUCCUGGGCUCCUACUUAACGAACUUCACAAGAAAAUCCAUCUUCUUCUUUCCAAUCUUCUUGAAGGUAUAAGGAUAGUUGGCAAUCCUUCUAUCCCACAAAACAUCUGAAGUUACUAUUCUCUACCAAGAAGAACAAGCUCUAAAGUCAUUAACUCCCUCAUGGUCUCAGGUACAUCAUGCAUAUGCAUGUCAUGUGUUUUUCACAGAGGAUAGCAGCUCUGCUUGCUAUGCUAUCUGGUUCUGAGUCCUUGGUUGUCUUUGAUUUCAAAGAUCCUGUUAGCAUAUUCUAAUAGGUAUGUGCUUGGCCUUUAAAACUGUUAUGUAACAACUGAGUUUUUUAAAAGCCUUGGUGCUCAAAUCAGUCAUGGGUUGAGAUCUUGUGUUGUGCCAACCCGUGACCAAAUGUUUUGCGGUCCAUGGCUCCAGUAAGCCAUAAUGAUGCCCAGACCAAAGGUAAGGCUGGAACUGUCUGUGUCCAGACCAGUUCUCAUUGGCUGAGUCGUGGUCCAUUGAUGGACUGAGUAAGAGGUUGUAUAACCUUAUUACUCCAUGUUUAAAUCAAACAUGUUUUAGGAAAGGUAUCAUUGUGUCCUUGAGUUGGCUCGUGACAACUGUGUUGGAUCUGCAACAUAUCACUUCUGUCCAAAACCUUUCUGAAGCAAGUUGGCAGCUUUGCUGGCGUCAUUCCUUUGAUGCCUGUCUGCCUAUAUAUUGUUAUAGCUUUGGCUAUGCUCGUUGGUUGUUGAAAUUUGCUGUAUUGCAUUUUCAUUAAUUGAGUAUAGUUUCAUGCUUGCAUUGUUCAUGCUGCUCUAAGUCUUCCCUGUGAUUAUAAAUCUUAGAGCUUGAACUAAAAACUCUUUUUAUAAACUCAUAUCAUGUUACAUACCAUGAGGGAUGUGUAGUGCAAUCAAUCCAAGAAGUGUUCACGGUUGAAUCAGCUAGCUGAAUUCACGAACAAGGCUUCUGAAAUCGUUUCCAGCUGUGGCUGCUUAGAAACAAGAGAGGAGAUAGGUCUAGACUAGUUUGGGACUAGAUAGGAUAACAUAGUGUUGUUGUAUCCCUGGAUCUGUUAUUCUUGUAAUAAGUCAGUUUUAUAUAGUGGAAAGGUUUGUCCGUCAAGAGAAAAGGGGCACGCAGUUUUUCUCCCUGCUACAGGGUUUCUGCGAGGAAAAAACAUCCAUGCGUUGAUUAUUUAUUUACUGCUAUUUACUUACUGCAAAUUCGUGUUCUGUACCCUAGGAUAGCACAAGUCAUUGCUAUCCUCUGAAACAGUAAACGAAAAUUUGAAAAAUGCCUAUUCACCCCCCCUCUAGGACCUUUACUUCUUCUGUAGGGUCUGAGCCAAAACUGAAACACAAGAAGCCUAUUCUGUGCUAGCCUCACCAGCUUUCCUUGAGCUCUUCACCGUUCUCUCAUACUCUUCAGGAACCAACAUCGCGAUAUCAGCUAUGAUAGUAUCUCUUCAGGAGUUUCAGACCAAGAAGAAGAGGGUUUUUUUUUGUUGAUGAAAAAAGAAGAAGAUUGACGUUUGAUAUUCACCACCAGAUUUUGCUAAAUAUAAUUAAAUUUUAGAUUAGAGAUGAGUUAGAGGUGGGUUAGAAUUAAAGUUGGUUAGAGGGUUUAAUAAGGUUAACAGGGGUUAGUGGGUGUUAAGCUGAGUAGGCAAAAAUUGCCAAAUGUCAAAUUUUAAUAGAAUUCAGGGAAGGAGUAGGAAAUUGGUGACAGGAUCCCCUAUACCCACCUCUCACCAACCACUUCUUUACCAAAACAUGUUCAAUUUAUAGCAGAAUGGUCUGCAAUAACUUUUGGCAUUGCUGCAGGUCUAAAAUGUUUUCUUCAAAUAUUAACAAUCUUUCAUAUAUUCAUGGAUCAUUCCUACACUCAAUCCCAUAUUUAGGACAAUCUUUAGGUAUAUUAUAUUUCAUCUGCUUAAUCACACCUAAUCGGUGAUAAACCAUUUCCGACUUGUGAGAUUGCGAGUUUAUUGGCAAUAAGCAAGAUUAUAAUCUUAUAUAGAGCUCAACAGUUCCUCGAUCUUUAUUUCCCCCCAAUUCUGCUCAAUAUGAAUGAUAGAGGGAGGGGCUGGAAGGUUGCAAGUGAUGAAGGAAGCAUAGGAGAAGAAAACGACAGAGCUCGGCAACAACAGUUUGAAAUUUAAGUACUAUUAUUAAUUUCUAAAUAGACGAGCUACAUAGAUUGUGACCUAGGAGAUGACAUACAGAACGAUAACUUAAGGAUUCCUUCAUGAGGAAUCCCAAGUGGAUCUCAUAAACACCCACAACUUUAUUCUCACGUUAAUAAUAAUAUGAUCUCUGCGGCCGAAAAAUGACUUCUCGUCAAGCUCUUCAUUUCACACUGCAACACAAAACCACACGAAGUUAGCUUUCAUCGACUUCAUCAUAUCAUAUUGACAAAAGCAAACAGAUAACUAAAACAAGAACAAAGUGAAAACAAUCGAUAUUCUGCAGCACAAUGCUUACUUGUUGCAGUUGGUGGAGGUGCUGAUCUUGUAGGGAACGUUGACACCACACUUGCCGGGAAGACCGGCGGCGAGGUUAGCGUUAAGUCCCUUGAUGCUUCCAGCUGCACUCUUCAGGCAAUUGCAAGUUUGCUUGCGGUCAGCGGUGGUCUUGGCCGCGCUGUUGAGGCUGCGAAUUCCGUUGCAGCAAGCGGCAGGGACAGCG
RNAcentral lists this long non-coding RNA (19026 nucleotides) under Fragaria vesca (wild strawberry). Its description in RNAcentral is "long non-coding RNA (FVES_LNC002825)". The record is from RNAcentral. Lineage: Eukaryota; Viridiplantae; Streptophyta; Magnoliopsida; Rosales; Rosaceae.